This is a long non-coding RNA of Sinocyclocheilus grahami, 110 nucleotides long. RefSeq lists it as uncharacterized. The transcript is spliced from 3 exons. The record is from RefSeq and is a predicted model, not a curated record. Lineage: Eukaryota; Metazoa; Chordata; Actinopteri; Cypriniformes; Cyprinidae.
UAGUACUUAAAUGGAAAACGUUUGGGACAACCAGAACCCUUCUUAGAGCUGGCCGUCCGGCCAAACUGAGCUCUCGGGGGGGAAGAGCCUUGGUGAGAGAGGUAAAGAAG